CCUAUACUGCGAUGAAGCGGGAAAAGCUCAAAUUUAAAAUCUGAGGGUCUUUAUGGCCUUCCGAGUUGUAAUCUAGAGAAGUGCUAUCCGCGCUGGACCGUGUACAAGUCUCCUGGAACGGAGCGUCAUAGAGGGUGAGAAUCCCGUCUUUGACACGGACUACCAGGGCUUAUGUGAUACGCUCUCAAAGAGUCGAGUUGUUUGGGAAUGCAGCUCUAAAUGGGUGGUAAAUUCCAUCUAAAGCUAAAUAUUGGCGAGAGACCGAUAGCGAACAAGUACCGUGAGGGAAAGAUGAAAAGAACUUUGGAAAGAGAGUUAAAAAGUACGUGAAAUUGUUGAAAGGGAAACGCUUGAAGUCAGUCGCAUUGGCAAGGAAUCAACCUUGCUUUUGCUUGGUGUAUUUUCUGGUUAAUGGGUCAGCAUCAAUUUUGAUCGGUGGAAAAAGAUCAAGGAAUGUGGCAUCUUCGGAUGUGUUAUAGCCCUUGGUUGUAUACAUCGAUUGGGAUUGAGGAGCUCAGCACGCCGCAAGGCCGGGUUUUUAACCACGUACGUGCUUAGGAUGCUGGCAUAAUGGCUUUAAUCGACCCGUCUUGAAACACGGACCAAGGAGUCUAACAUGCACGCGAGUGUUUGGGUGGAAAACCCGAGCGCGUAAUGAAAGUGAAAAUUGAGAUCCCUGUCGUGGGGAGCAUCGAUGCCCGGACCAGAUCUUUUGUGACGGUUCCGCGGUUGAGCGUGUAUGCUGGGACCCGAAAGAUGGUGAACUAUGCCUGAAUAGGGUGAAGCCAGAGGAAACUCUGGUGGAGGC
Molecule: ribosomal RNA, 808 nt
Filed under: Tricholoma myomyces
Lineage: Eukaryota; Fungi; Basidiomycota; Agaricomycetes; Agaricales; Tricholomataceae
Description: eukaryotic LSU rRNA
Rfam family: Eukaryotic large subunit ribosomal RNA
Source: RNAcentral